GAUGAAGAACGAAGCAAAAUGCGAUAAGUAAUGUGAAUUGCAGAAUUCAGUGAAUCAUCGAAUCUUUGAACGCACAUUGCGCCCGCUGGUAUUCCGGCGGGCAUGCCUGUUCGAGCGUCAUUUCAACCCUCAAGCCCCCGGGAUUGGUGUUGGGGAUCGGCUCUGCCCUUCUGGGCGGUGCCGCCCCCGAAAUACAUUGGCGGUCUCGCUGCAGCCUCCAUUGCGUAGUAGCUGACACCUCGCAACUGGAACGCGGCGCGGCCAUGCCGUAAAACCCCAACUUCUGAAUGUUGACCUCGGAUCAGGUAGGAAUACCCGCUGAACUUAAGCAUAUCAAUAAGCGGAGGA
This 348-nucleotide unclassified non-coding RNA is filed under the name soil metagenome. Its description in RNAcentral is "partial contains 5.8S ribosomal RNA, internal transcribed spacer 2, and large subunit ribosomal RNA". The stretch from base 1 to 120 matches the Rfam family "5.8S ribosomal RNA", at positions 35 to 154 of the family's 154-position model. The record is from RNAcentral.